UCCACUUCCUCUGGGAUAAGCUGCAGCAGGUCAGCAAAGGAAGGAGGAAGCAGAGAGGGACGACGGAGGAGAGAGACCACGCGGAAGGGAAGGCCCUCACUCCUCUCCAGGCCUGUCCCACUCACGCAGAACACUGUCCUGACAUUUAGGUGACAGAAGGGUGCCCUGCUUCGAGAAGGAAAACUACCAGGGACCCAUGUGCUCUGUAAAAUAUAGAAGGCACUACACAAGGAAGGAAAGCAGUUCCGCUGAGAUUGGCUGAUCGAAGAUGAUGAAAUGCCACAUUCGCUUCAGUAAACAGACAUUUCAAAGUCCAAAGGAAACAAACUCAAAGUCAUGACAUGCAAAAAACACUACUUGAUGCCCAGCAUGAACCUCACUCACGGACACCCUGAAAAUAGUCACUGAUUGCACCAGAGCAAUAAAACAGCUUUCAGCCUGAGGAAGAUCACAUUGAGAUGAGUUGAAAGCAUUUUGAAGAA
Long non-coding RNA from Rhinopithecus roxellana (golden snub-nosed monkey), 482 nucleotides. RefSeq lists it as uncharacterized. The transcript has 3 exons. The record is from RefSeq and is a predicted model, not a curated record. Lineage: Eukaryota; Metazoa; Chordata; Mammalia; Primates; Cercopithecidae.